AGUGGGAUUACUGGGCCAAAUGGUGGUUUCAGCCCAUGUUUCUGGGGAAUCUCUAUAUUGCUUUCCAUAAUGGUUGCAACAAUUUGUAGUCCCAUCAGCAAU
This 102-nucleotide microRNA precursor is filed under the name Marmota monax (woodchuck). Lineage: Eukaryota; Metazoa; Chordata; Mammalia; Rodentia; Sciuridae. The record is from RNAcentral.